Non-coding RNA from Styela clava, 299 nucleotides. Lineage: Eukaryota; Metazoa; Chordata; Ascidiacea; Stolidobranchia; Styelidae. The record is from RefSeq and is a predicted model, not a curated record.
AAUUCUGUGACGAGACUAUUUCAUUUACAGAAUAAUGAUAAUUUUGUGGUUAAUCCUUUCGUUGAUUUUAUUUUAAAAGUAUUUUCUUAUCAGAAUGAUAGAUUUCGUUGCCGACCUUUUGGACGAGAUGCAUGAAAUGAGAGAAAGGCUUAAUGAAGAAUAGCAUGAAGUUCGAGCAGCCUGUGAAUAAGAGAUUUGUGAACACAAACAUGAAAUCACUUAUAUUAUUCAGAGUAAUUUGCGGUAAUGAAUUCAAAGGUUGAACAUUUUUAACCGCAAUAAACUUUUUAUCGUGUAAA